ACUUGUGGCCAUACGCCUGUUCAGGCUCGGGCCUGGUUCGAACUGGGAUGGGAGACCGUCUGGGAAUACCAGGUGCCAUAAACU
Molecule: ribosomal RNA, 84 nt
Filed under: Salmo salar (Atlantic salmon)
Lineage: Eukaryota; Metazoa; Chordata; Actinopteri; Salmoniformes; Salmonidae
Source: RNAcentral